Molecule: ribosomal RNA, 969 nt
Filed under: Triticum aestivum (bread wheat)
Lineage: Eukaryota; Viridiplantae; Streptophyta; Magnoliopsida; Poales; Poaceae
Description: partial small subunit ribosomal RNA
Source: RNAcentral
AUGGCCGAGAUCAACAAUGACGCCGCAGAGGAAGGAGACGGGCAGCUCCUGUCCACGCUCCCGAAGAAGGAAGGGAUGUGGAAGCCAUUCUUCCUCUACCGAGGCUGCUGGCUCACACCCCGGACCGUGACGAGCAUCACGCUCCUGCAGUCCCAGUUCGCCCCGCGCCCCGACGACGUCGUCCUCGCCACCUUCCCCAAGUGCGGCACCACCUGGCUCAAGGCGCUCGCCUUCGCCGUCGCCAACCGCUCCCGACACCCCGCCGGCUCCGGCGCCCACCCGCUGCUCACCACCCACCCGCAGGACCUCGUGCCGUCCCUCGAGGUGCCCCACCGCGACGUCCACCCGGUCGCCGGCCUCGACAAGCUCCCCUCCCCGAGGCUCCUCUCCACCCACAUGCCGCCGUCGCUGCUGCCCCCGGGCAUCUCGGCCCUCGGCUGCCGCGUCGUGUACCUGUGCCGGGAGCCCAAGGACGUGUUCGUCUCCAGCUGGCACUACAUGAACAGGGUGAGCGCCGACUUCUCCCCCGACAUGGACGCCACCUUCGAGCUCUUCUGCGAGGGGUUCUCCCUGUACGGCCCUCUCUGGGAUCACGUCCGCGGGUACUGGGAGCAGAGCGUGGCGGAGCCCGACAGGGUUCUCUUCCUCAAGUACGACGACAUGAUGGCCGACGCAGGUAAGCACCUCAAGAUGCUCGCCGAGUUCCUCCGCGCCCCGUUCACUGACGAGGAGGUCAGCGGCGGGGCCGUGGAGGACGUCGUGGCCCUGUGUAGCUUCGAGAAUCUGAAGAGCCUGCCGGUCAACUCCUCAGGAGUGUCCGAUCGGAUCGGUGGCUUGCCCAUGGAGAAUUCGUCCUACUUCCGGGCUGGGAAGGUGGGAGACUGGAAGACACACUUGACUGAGGAGAUGGCAAAAAAGCUGGACUGCAUCGUUGAAGAGAAGCUGAGAGGUUCUGGUCUCACCUUCUGA